RNAcentral lists this ribosomal RNA (451 nucleotides) under uncultured bacterium. Its description in RNAcentral is "partial 16S ribosomal RNA". It matches the Rfam family "Bacterial small subunit ribosomal RNA", at positions 29 to 523 of the family's 1533-position model. The record is from RNAcentral.
AGCGAACGCUGGCGGCAUGCCUAACACAUGCAAGUCGAGCGGGCGUAGCAAUACGCCAGCGGCAGACGGGUGAGUAACGCGUGGGGACGUACCUUUUGGUUCGGUACAACACAGGGAAACUUGUGCUAAUACCGGAGAAGCCCUUACGGGGAAAGAUUUAUCGCCGAAAGAUCGGCCCGCGUCUGAUUAGCUAGUUGGUAGGGUAAUGGCCUACCAAGGCGACGAGCAGUAGCUGGUCUGAGAGGAUGAUCAGCCACAUUGGGACUGAGACACGGCCCAAACUCCUACGGGAGGCAGCAGUGGGGAAUAUUGGACAAUGGGGGCAACCCUGAUCCAGCCAUGCCGCGUGAGUGAUGAAGGCCCUAGGGUUGUAAAGCUCUUUUGUGCGUGAAGAUAAUGACGGUACCGCAAGAAUAAGCCCCGGCUAACUUCGUGCCAGCCGCCGCGGUAA